GACGAACGCUGGCGGCGUGCUUAACACAUGCAAGUCGAACGCUGAAGCUCAGCUUUUGUUGGGUGGAUGAGUGGCGAACGGGUGAGUAACACGUGAGUAACCUGCCUCCUUCUUUGGGAUAACGCCCGGAAACGGGUGCUAAUACUGGAUAUUCACUGGUCUUCGCAUGGGGGUUGGUGGAAAGGGUUUUUCUGGUGGGGGAUGGGCUCGCGGCCUAUCAGCUUGUUGGUGGGGUGAUGGCCUACCAAGGCUUUGACGGGUAGCCGGCCUGAGAGGGUGACCGGUCACAUUGGGACUGAGAUACGGCCCAGACUCCUACGGGAGGCAGCAGUGGGGAAUAUUGCACAAUGGGCGCAAGCCUGAUGCAGCGACGCCGCGUGAGGGAUGGAGGCCUUCGGGUUGUGAACCUCUUUCGCUCAUGGUCAAGCCGCAACAAUGGUUGUGGUGAGGGUAGUGGGUAAAGAAGCGCCGGUUAACUACGUG
This 483-nucleotide ribosomal RNA is filed under the name uncultured bacterium. RNAcentral describes it as "partial 16S ribosomal RNA". It matches the Rfam family "Bacterial small subunit ribosomal RNA", at positions 28 to 507 of the family's 1533-position model. The record is from RNAcentral.